Non-coding RNA from Pelobates cultripes (western spadefoot toad), 225 nucleotides. Lineage: Eukaryota; Metazoa; Chordata; Amphibia; Anura; Pelobatidae. The record is from the annotation of a GenBank genome assembly.
CUUCGGUCCUGCUGUUCGUCUCAGCGUCUCGUGUCCCUUGUUGUAUGUUGUAAAGGUCUCCAUAGUAGCGGAGGAAUGUGUCAGGAAUGGUCUGGGAGGUGGAGUGUCCGUUGGGCCGUGUCCUUGAUCUUGGGGAUGUAGAGUUGUGUUUUGCGCUGUAGGGAUUCUUAUUGUAUCAACUCUUCAAGAAAGCUACAAUUCAUAAAUUAAUGCACUAGAAAUUGG